Molecule: long non-coding RNA, 3241 nt
Organism: Felis catus (domestic cat)
Lineage: Eukaryota; Metazoa; Chordata; Mammalia; Carnivora; Felidae
Exons: 5
Source: RefSeq, a predicted model, not a curated record
UGUGGCAAAUAGUUCCAAAUCAACUGUAGGUAUUACAGUUGCUUGCUUUGCUUGCCUAACAUCAGAAGCAAAAAAUAGAAUUGACCAAAUCUGUUAAGUCUAUUCAUAUGUCAAAACACUAGCUUUAUUGGUCCAAGGGAGAAUAAUGAGGAGAGUUGUUUCAGUCUGGUGUCCAAGAAUAUUUGACAUGCAAAGAAAGAACCCUUUUACACCAAAAGGCAGUAGUUUGGACUUCAAUAUUUACCAGUAAUGUCAACAGAUGAAAACAGAGGAGUAUUUUAUAUUGACUUUUGCCAAUAUUUGUACACCUGAAGAUUUUUAGGUUACAAACCACAGUUUACAUUUCCUCUUUAUCUCUUAAUUCCUAUCUUGAAAUCAUUGACACUAUCCUGUUUGCAAGAUGUUUCCUCUACAAUCAUUUAAAGAGUUACGGUUUUUUGUUUUUUUUGUUUUUUUUUUUUUGGUGGCAUGAAGGAAAGGAUGAAGCAUGUCAUUGCAGGUAAUCUGAUAAAUUUCUGAAAUUAGAUAUACAAGAAAGGAAAAACAGGACUAUUGUUUACCCUAAAAAAUUGACAUGAUUUAAAGUGACUGAUUAUGAAGCUAAAAGAUUCAUCUCUACAUGUUCAUUGCUUAGUCAAGUCAUUUGCUUAAUUGCAUUUGAUUAAUCAAGCUGAAUGUGUUUUUUCCUCUGUAUAGCUUUAUUGUUGGUACUGAUUUCCAAUUAUUAAAUAACACUGUGGAUAGGAAAAUAUCUUCAUUAUUAAAAACUAGUCAAAUGGUUAUUAAUCAGAAAAAAUAACUAUAAAAAUCAUAAAUUGGAAUAUCUUAAAAUAACAGAGAGGUUGGUAAAAAGCAUGAACUCACAGUUAUAAGAUAAAUCAGGUCUGAAUAUCAAAAUGUAUGACAGGCCAAUUAUAGUUCAUAACACCUUAUUGUAUCAUUGAAAUUUGCUAAAAGAGUAGAACCUCAAUGUUUUUACCAAAAAGGGGAUGGAAUGUGUGAAGUGAUACAUGUGUUAAAUAACUUCAUAGGGGAAUCCUUUUACACAAUGUAUCCCCCACCAAAAAAAAAGAAAAAAAAAGAAAAAAAGAAAUUUCUGUUCAUCAAAAGGAAUGAUAGGAGAGUGAAGAGGAAAACUGCAAGUUGAAGAAGAUACUAGCCAGUCAUGAAUAAUUUCUACAAAUCAUUACAAAAAAAAAAAACCCACAACCUAAUAGAAGAAUGAUGAAAAGCUUGAAAAGAUAUGCAAAAACAGAAUAUCCAAAUGGUCAGCUAAUAAGUGCAAAAGUGCUCAAUCUCAUUUAUCAUUAGGGAAAUAUAAACAAAACUACUAUGAGAUAGAUGUGACUAGACAUAAACAAGAAUGACUAAAAUAAUUGAGAAGGGAAAUAGCAAAUUUUGGUGAAAGAGUAGAGUGCAGGAGUUAACAUAUCCUCUUGGUGGGAAAGUUAACCGCUGGGAAACUUGAACACAAACUACCUCACAGUCACCAGAAAUGUGUACAUAUGUUCACCAAAGACAGUACUAACUAGAGAAUAUUCCUAGAAACCCUAUUGAUAAUAGCCCCAAACUGGAAACUACCUAAAUGCCCAUUGAUACUAUGAAUAAACAAACUGGUUUAUUCGCAAAACAAAAUCUGACACAGCCCUGAGAACAAUCACACUGUAACCGUGUAUAACAAACAGUGUGGAUGACUCUCAUGAUCACGUCAAAAGAAGCUAGAGACAAAAGAGUAUAUACAAUAUUUUCCAGUUAUAUAAAGUAUAAAAAUUGUCAAUAUUACUAUAAACUGUUAGAAGUAGUUACUCUUGGGAAUGAGGCCCCAGGCACAUAAGAGGGCUGCUGAGUGCUGGUAAUAUCCUGAUAUUUUUUGUCUCGGUGCCACUUAUAAGAGGUGAUCAUUUUGUAGGAGAAACUACUGAGUCACAUACUUAUAACUAGAGCACUCUUCUGUUUUCUAGUACUCUUCAAAAUGGUAAUAAAUGACAAGCAAACUGGAUAUGACUAACUUGCAUUUUCAUGAAAACACUGUCUAUCCACAAAGAAUGCAGUACAUGUUUAUAGAUGAAGAUUGCAUUCCUGUCUUAAAUUGACCUCUGUAACCAAGGAAAUAUAUUCUUUGAAACAUUUUAUUCUACCACAAAAAGGCAACAAGUACCAAACAUGUACAAACAGUAUGCAUUUUUCUUGAAGAGAUACAGUAAUUCCUUUCACUAAGCUAAAUAAAUGAGAUACACUGAGAAGUUUUUGCACUGAUGAUGAUAAUAAUGUUUUGGUGUACCUAAUGCUUUAUGUUCAGUAAAAUACUUUCUACUUUCACACAUAGCAUCUCUCCCCCAAGCUGUGUUUGUUAAGGAAAGCCAUUAUUAUUAUUAUUUCCAUUUUAUGGAUAAAGAAAACAAAGCUCAGAGAAGCACCAUGUGUCCAAGAUCUCCCAAAAUAAAAACUUAUCACCUGGAUUCAAACUUGAUGGAGGAUUAAUGCAAUAUACUACAGCUCAGCAGGAGCUGAAACUACUCAGUGUGUUUAAAAUGGGUCCACUUCUGGUUGCUUAUCUUUGCUCCCAAGUAAUUAAAACACCACCACAAUACCUGGAUCACUUUUGCUUGGUACCUGGUGCCUCGUCUUGAAAGUCAGAGAGUGUUUUUCAGGAAGAAGACGCCCAUCUUCUCAUUGAGCAAGUGCAAAGAGUCAAACACAUCUCACUGAGCCACACUGCACCUGGAGAUGUAUCCAGGGGGAGAUAUGCAAAAAUGCACAGCAGCCCCAGGCAAGUUUCCUCCUAGCAUUUCCUGUCAGCUGUCUGGCUAUCUACCAGGGAAAAAGAAAAACCUCCUAAUACGGUUCCUGUGGGAAUUUGAAUUAAUUUAGGCUCCAACAGAACUGAGACCAUGUCUUCCAAAAACUGUGGAUGUCCAAUAAAGAUGAUUUGAAACAGCCUUGCUGGGAGGAUUAAGGUUCUCUAUGUGAUUAUCCUUACUGCAGCUUACCACUGUCUGGAUGAUGUUUAUUCCUCAUUCUAUUUCCACUUGCUUCUGUGUCCCUGUUUUCUUCCAGACUACAGACAAGGCCAGAAAUCUCCUCAGUCUACCCUUUGCUCAUAGAGGUGUCUCCUCCUUCUUCAACUUGCCUGCUAUUAAACAGAGCUUUUUAUAGUACCCAGACUAUGUCAGCCCUCUCAGAUGAAUUACUUUUUCUGAAGGAAAAAAAAAAGGGAAAAUAAAAUGAUUCAUGAUCUUGA